UACGUAGGGGGCAAGCGUUGUCCGGAAUCAUUGGGCGUAAAGAGCGUGUAGGCGGCCAGAAAAGUCCGCUGUGAAAACUCGAGGCUCAACUUCGAGCUGUCGGUGGAAACUUUCUGGCUAGAGUCCGGAAGAGGAGAAUGGAAUUCCUGGUGUAGCGGUGGAAUGCGCAGAUAUCAGGAGGAACACCGGUGGCGAAGGCGGGUCUCUGGGCAGUAACUGACGCUGAGGAGCGAAAGCGUGGGGAGCGAACAGG
This 253-nucleotide ribosomal RNA is filed under the name uncultured bacterium. RNAcentral describes it as "partial 16S ribosomal RNA". It matches the Rfam family "Bacterial small subunit ribosomal RNA", at positions 524 to 776 of the family's 1533-position model. The record is from RNAcentral.